AUGUUGGUUUAAAAAGGCCAACAUUCUUUUCUGUGUCGGAAAAUCAGAUUAAGUUGAAUUAACAUCUUCGAAAUAGCAAAAGAGUUGAGUUGUAUUCAAAAUAAUAUAAGGGUGGUUGAACUGAAUCACAAUCGAAGCACAUAGGCGCUAUAUCUGUAGAUUUUAAUUAAGUAAAUUAAUUGUAUACUUUUGUCGAAUCGUUGGCGCUAACCAUUAAUCCCAAAAACUCGAACUGUUAAAAAUAUGCAACUAACUCACUUAAGCGUACAAAUAUAGCGUCUACGGAUCUUGAUUGUGACUCGGCCCAACCAGCCUCACGUCACUUAGAAUAUGACUCGGCCCAACCCAGCCUCACGUCAUUUCGAACAUGACUCGGCCCACACACGGCCUCCCACCACAGAACAGGAUGCUGACCCAUUUAAGCCAACAUAUUUUUAACAACUCGAAUUUUUUAAAUUAAUUGUUAGCAGCAACAAUCCAAUAAAAAAAAAAACUUUACAAAUAUUUUUA
This 510-nucleotide long non-coding RNA is filed under the name Ananas comosus (pineapple). Its description in RNAcentral is "long non-coding RNA (ACOM_LNC007892)". Lineage: Eukaryota; Viridiplantae; Streptophyta; Magnoliopsida; Poales; Bromeliaceae. The record is from RNAcentral.